This 1606-nucleotide ribosomal RNA is filed under the name Dorylaimellus montenegricus. RNAcentral describes it as "SSU rRNA". It matches the Rfam family "Eukaryotic small subunit ribosomal RNA". Lineage: Eukaryota; Metazoa; Nematoda; Enoplea; Dorylaimida; Belondiridae. The record is from RNAcentral.
GGUAAUUCUGGAGCUAAUACAUGCAUAAAAGCUCCGCCCGCGAGGAAAGAGCGCAUUUAUUAGAAUAAAAACCAAUCGGGCUUCGGCCCGCCGUUUGGUGAAUCUGAAUAACUUUGCCAAUCGCACAGUCCUAGUACUGGCGAUGUAUCUUUCAAGUGUCUGCCUUAUCAACUUUCGAUGGUAGGUUAUACGCCUACCAUGGUAGUAACGGGUAACGGGGAAUGAGGGUUCGACUCCGGAGAGGGAGCCUGAGAAACGGCUACCACAUCCAAGGAAGGCAGCAGGCGCGCAAAUUACCCACUUCCAGAACGGAGAGGUAGUGACGAAAAAUAACGAGACAGUCCUCUUCGAGGUCUGUCAUCGGAAUGGGUACAAUUUAAAUCCUUUAACGAGGAUCUAUUGGAGGGCAAGUCUGGUGCCAGCAGCCGCGGUAAUUCCAGCUCCAAUAGCGUAUAUUAAAGUUGUUGCGGUUAAAACGCUCGUAGUUGGAUCUGCGGCCGAGGAGAACGGUCCCCCGAAAGGGUGGUCACUGUCUCUCCUAGCCUAAAUUCGAGUCUUCUCUAGGUGUCCUUUACCGGGUGCCUAGAGUGACUAGAACGUUUACUUUGAAAAAAUUAGAGUGCUCAAAGCAGGCGAAAUAGCCUGAAUAAGGUGCAUGGAAUAAUGGAAUAGGACCUCGGUUCUAUUUUGUUGSUUUUCGGAACCCGAGGUAAUGAUUAAGAGGAACAGACGGGGGCAUUCGUAUUCCGGCGCUAGAGGUGAAAUUCUUGGACCGCCGGAAGACGGACGACUGCGAAAGCAUUUGCCAAGAAUGUUYUCAUUAAUCAAGAACGAAAGUUAGAGGUUCGAAGGCGAUCAGAUACCGCCCUAGUUCUAACCGUAAACGAUGACAACCAGCGAUUAGUCAGCGUUAAUAUAUGACCUGACUAGCAGCUUCCGGGAAACCAAAGUUUUUCGUUUCCGGGGGAAGUAUGGUUGCAAAGCUGAAACUUAAAGGAAUUGACGGAAGGGCACCACCAGGAGUGGAGCCUGCGGCUUAAUUUGACUCAACACGGGAAAACUCACCCGGCCCGGACACCGUAAGGAUUGACAGACUGAGAGCUCUUUCUUAAUUCGGUGGGUGGUGGUGCAUGGCCGUUCUUAGUUGGUGGAGCGAUUUGUCUGGUUAAUUCCGAUAACGAACGAGACUCUGGCCUAUUAAAUAGACGGUAUAUCAGUAAGUAUACCGCGCUUCUUAGAGGGACAAGCGGCGUCUAGCCGCAUGAAAUAGAGCAAUAACAGGUCUUGAUGCCCUUAGAUGUCCGGGGCUGCACGCGCGCUACACUGAAAGAAUCAGCGUGCGAUUCGCCUGGUCCGGAAGGAUCGGGUAACCCGAGUAAAUUCUUUCGUGCUUGGGAUAGGGAACUGCAAUUAUUUCCCUUAAACGAGGAAUUCCCAGUAAAUGCGGGUCAUAAGCUCGCGUUGAUUACGUCCCUGCCCUUUGUAUACACCGCCCGUCGCUACUACCGAUUGGAUGACUUAGUGAGGUCUUAGGACCGAGGCGAAGGUGCUUUAACGAGCGCUUUCGUUUUGGAAAUUUGAUCGAACUACGUUAUCUAGAGGAAGU